AAAAAGGCAAACCGUAGGUUCCCGUGCCAACGUUUAACUGUCCGUCUUAUAUGAAAUUUUUUUAUAAUUAGUAUUUUCAUUGUUGUUAGAUGAUAAAGCAUGAUUAAUACUUUAUACGUGACUUAUCUUUUUAAUUUUCUUCAUAAUUUUUUCAAAUAAGACGAACGGUUAAACGUUGGACACGGAAACCAUGGUUUGUCUUUUU
This 205-nucleotide microRNA precursor is filed under the name Oryza rufipogon (brownbeard rice). RNAcentral's name for it is "MIR812 microRNA precursor family". It matches the Rfam family "MIR812 microRNA precursor family". The record is from Rfam by way of RNAcentral. Lineage: Eukaryota; Viridiplantae; Streptophyta; Magnoliopsida; Poales; Poaceae.